RNAcentral lists this ribosomal RNA (494 nucleotides) under uncultured bacterium. RNAcentral describes it as "partial 16S ribosomal RNA". It matches the Rfam family "Bacterial small subunit ribosomal RNA", at positions 28 to 507 of the family's 1533-position model. The record is from RNAcentral.
GACGAACGCUGACGGCGUGCUUAACACAUGCAAGUCGAACGGAAAGGCCUGCUUUCCCUUGUGGUUUGCGGGUACUCGAGUGGCGAACGGGUGAGUAACACGUGAGUGAUCUGCCCCCAACUUGGGUAUAAGCCUGGGAAACUGGGUCUAAUUCCCGAUAGGACUGCAGGGUGGUGCCUGUGGUGGAAAACGAUUUUCUAGUGGUUGGGGAUGAGCUCGCGGCCUAUCAGCUUGUUGGUGGGGUAAUGGCCUACCAAGGCGGCGACGGGUAGCCGGCCUGAGAGUGUGGACGGCCACAUUGGGACUGGGAUACGGCCCAGACGCCUACGGGAGGCAGGGGUGGGGAAUAUUGCACAAUGGGCGGAAGCCUGAUGCAGCGACGCCGCGUGGAGGAUGACGGCAUUCGGGUUGUAAACUCCUUUCGACCGCGAGGAAGCCACCUGGUUGGAAGGGUGGUGACGGUAGUGGUAGAAGAAGCACCGGCUAACUACGUG